RNAcentral lists this long non-coding RNA (285 nucleotides) under Physcomitrium patens. RNAcentral's name for it is "long non-coding RNA (PPAT_LNC001914)". The record is from RNAcentral. Lineage: Eukaryota; Viridiplantae; Streptophyta; Bryopsida; Funariales; Funariaceae.
CGUUUGAUUAUGAUUUUGAAAUCGUAUCUGACAGAAAACAAUACAUAGUAACAAAUUUGCAAAGUGUUUGUUAAAAUGUUAUAUUUUUGUUACAAAAAAUUGUAAUGAUCAAUAUAGAUAAUGGAGUUUUUUAUGAAAUAAAUCAUUUCGUAAAUUUGAUUUAGAAGAUGCUUUAAAAGAUACAUGUGUGUUGGAAAAUGAAUAUUUUCAAGGAUCUAGUUUUGCUGAAAUUUUCAAUUUUAUGUUUUUCAAGUCUUUUUUAGUACACAUCUACAAUCCUUGAAA